Molecule: long non-coding RNA, 3644 nt
Organism: Brienomyrus brachyistius
Lineage: Eukaryota; Metazoa; Chordata; Actinopteri; Osteoglossiformes; Mormyridae
Exons: 7
Source: RefSeq, a predicted model, not a curated record
AUCUUAGCAGCACAAAUGGAAUAGAUUUAAUUUAACGGCUGCAGUAGCACGUGAAAUCAUUUGAGAAGAGUUUAUAGUCAUGGUUUGCUGUGGUGAGGAUGCCUACAGAGAGCUACUCACUGUCCAAACAGCACAAAUGCAUCGUUUUUAAAGCCGUAAUAUUUACCUUUUUAAAAGUAAACUCAUCUUGACUGGAACAUGGUUCAAGUGAUUUCAGUGUAUGAAAUCAUCUAGAGGCAAAUAAAAAAAUGGUGGAUUUUCCUGAUUUGGAGAAAGUGAAUAAUCCAGCUUAGCGUCACGAAAUGAGAGUGUUGCCCCGCCGGAGGCCUGAAGCUGAGAACAUUCGUCCAGCGUUAACAUGCAAAGCAGCCCGGCAUGCUGGGUAAAGCCUCCAUUUCCAAUGCGAUUUCCCUUUUACUGCGACAAAGUUCCUCCUCAGUUGCAGCAAUGCUCCGUGUCACCUGUCCCAAGGCAGCCAGCGUGGCUUCAGGCUCUGGAAAAUGGAUGAAUAGAUGGACAGUGGAGGAUGAGAACCAAAAACGCUGUAAUAUGAAGUUAUCCAGUACAGGGUCACAAGAGGGUCUGGAACCUAUCCCAGCUCAUCGAGCACAGGAGGGAUCUCUGCUCUCCACAGACACCGGGAGAAGGUGUGAUCUAAACCCCCAGCCCAAGAGAUGCCAGUACGGGCGUGACGGAGAGUAAACGCUGACUCAGGGCAGGUAAUAAAUUGUAAAAUAAAUCAAAGGACGCGGAGAGCAGACUUGAUAAAAUCCAGCGACAGCUGAGUGAUAAAUUGGACGUCGUCAGCGGCGCGCGGCGGCUGCUGGGAGGUUAUUGUUGUGUACUUAUCCGGUCCCAGCCAUUCAUCACGGACACAGCCGCGGCUCAGAUGUGUGCCGGCUUCCAGCGUGGCAGAUAGUGGCGGCCGGCGAGGUCUGGGAGGGCGGAGGCUGCAGCCAAGGCCCUGAAUUGCUUUCUGGGCCAGGAUGACUCUCUUAUCUGGAGGAACCGACCGCUUGUGGCUCAGGGAGCAGGUGACUUUCUUUGCAGCAGAGUGGAAACUUAUGCUUACGAGCUGUUUUGCGCUUUUAAUUUCUCGUGCUGGGAAGUGGGGAGGAUCCGGAACGUUUACCGAGAUGCACUAUUUUUAUGCAUGUGGUGCUGUAAGUUACAUCACGGUGCCAGCCAGAAUUUCAUUAUGCAUUCAUAUUGCUGGCUGCUUUCUGUAGUACAGUUCGUUUAGACCGUAUCUGAUAAAUUGGAAGUAUCAUGUUUAUGUUGUGAGCACAGAGGAGUAUUUCAUUUAGUGAUUCAGGUCAGGAAUCUAGCUGUAGGGCAGAAAGGCAAAAACACACUGCAACAUGCCCACCUGCCCCCCAUCCUCCCCCAGGGCAUUAUGGGAAAGAUAAAUUCUGCCAGCGGGUCCAUCACUGUCCUGUCUCCCCCUUAUCUACUGCUGCUACAUGGAUAGUGCUGUCAGUGCUGGUUCUGACUUUAACAGCAACAUGCCAGUCAAUUUACACAUCAAACUGAAACCCCUCCCAUGUAAAGAACAUCAUUAGUGUCAUGUUGCCAGAUUAGGCACAUUAGUCUCCUCCGACCCAUGAUUCUGGGUCCUUCUGGGUCCCCGUUCGGGCUUCCACAGUGACUCCCGCGUGACUUUAGGAGAAUUUAGGAGAAAUUAGGAGAAGCCGGGGUAAAGGGACGGAAAGCCAUGUUGUGGGCCUUGUCCGCGGAAAAUACCAACAAGUCAAAAUGCACGUGCAGCUCCGCUUCGCUUUCCGUGAUGGGGGGACAAAAAAAGACGGAAAUAUACAGAAUCACGGAGGGUGAGGAGACUAUUACCGAAUUUCCAUAUGAAAAGCUACAGUCACGUCAGUCUUUCUUCUCUUAGAUGAAGCACAACCAUGUUCCCCCCCAAAAGGUAAUUUCAGACAAAGUUUUUCAUACAUAACUAAUUUGUUCAGAAAAUAAAUGAAUGGAGGGAAAAAAAAACUGUCCUGAAGCCUGGGUUCCAGAUCCAGAGCUAAAUUGGAACAUCGAGUUUGAAGUGAGUAAAUGGCCUUUCUGAGGGAGUCCGCUGUGCAUCCGCUACCCUAAGCUGCCGUCUUUGGGAAUUAGAGGGGUUUAGCGCUAUCUUCAUAGAACAGUCAUGGCACAAACAUAUAAGCCCAUGUCUUUAGCCUGGCCUGCCAAAAUGCAGCUCCCAUAAUCCUUUAUACUCUCACUCUUCCUUAUUCUCUCUCUGGGCUGGGAUGGUCAGCGCCGGCCCAGGUGGAGGAGAUGCGGCGAAGCCAGGAAGCCGUUGUUCCGGCGCGUCUGUGCCGUAGUUCCUAAUGGCCACAAAGACCCCCCACCUCCACCAGAAAAGGGCCCAGAUCCCGGCUGCGGACAUAGCCUUCCUCUGCCCCCAAUGCUCCUCUGUCACUCCAUGUCUGUUUUACCUCCCGCUGACCCUGAAAUGGCUAUCAUUUGUUUUCAAUUCCUCCUGCCGGUUUUGCUACACCUGUCUCUGCUCCCAUCCCAAAAUACAGGACCCCCCCACGAUGGCUGGGCCAGUCCAGGAAUGGUGCUGAGAGGGACUCCAUCAGUCACUGUUUGUAACCUGUAAUCGCCCUGAUUGGGGGCCUGUAACGCACUUGGAGUGGAUGUUCACGCUGCACUCGGCUCCACCCAUGGACCUCUAAGUGUUUUCACAUCAGCAGAAGACAGGAACCAGCUAUCCCCCCCCCCCACACACACAAAUAGCCAGUCUGCACUGUCCUGGUGUGAUUAGGAGGUUUUUAAGGUGAGGUGGCUGACCUUGUUAUUAGCCAAUUAUAUGUUUUGAAUCGGUAACUGACAGGGGAGCAGGUACUCCAAGGACCAAUCAGCUAUCAGCUGUACCGCAGCCCUGUCUCUGUCCCCUCCUCCUUUUCUUAAUGCUCCCACUGUAGAUACUUCUUUGAACCUUUUAGUGUCUCUGUCCUUAUGCUGUUUUGGGCAGCAGCUAUCAAUGCAGUUAAAGAGCUAGAUGAGGUAAUACGAAGGUAUGAAGGAGCUUUGAAGGUUGACGGUCUGGGGGGGACAGGGGGGGCCCCCUUGUGCCUCUGAACACUGGAUUGAAACUGGAUAGAAAAGUUGCUGCAUGGCAUUGUCAGCCAAGCAACAAAAGUGUGAUGUUAAUGCAAUCUUUACCCGUCACUGUUUAAAUGUAAACUGCAGCUAUUCCAUCUGACCCAGACGGUGGGUCAGAGCAGGGAUCCGCUCUCCUGCUUCGGGGUCCCGCAUCUUGAACACCUGGGGGGAAGCCCAGGUGAUAACACUGGAGAGAGACCCGCAGUGUGUGCUAUUCCAUGGUGAUGUCAUUUGCCUUGGUUGAGUGUUUGAGGCAGGAUAUAAGAGCAUAAUAGAUCACGACCAGAAGGGGGCAGCGUGGUGGUGAUUACGGCUUCGCUACGAUUGAUUUAUCAUCACGCAGUCCUCCUUUAUUUGUUCGAUUACGGCUUUCAUACUGCGGACCAGCUCACGGCCGGGAGUUAAGCAUUCACCACACUGGAAUUCAGAUAUGGCUCUGGGUCGGGGGCUGAGAUCGGACCGGCACCUCGGAGGGGUCCAACGUGAGCCUUUUGCUACGUGACAGCAAACACCCUUCAGAACCAUAC